This 45-nucleotide non-coding RNA is filed under the name Schistosoma haematobium. Lineage: Eukaryota; Metazoa; Platyhelminthes; Trematoda; Strigeidida; Schistosomatidae. The record is from RNAcentral.
AUCCAGUUGAUGAGUCCUAAAUAAAACGAAAUGCGUGUCCUGGAU